This 310-nucleotide unclassified non-coding RNA is filed under the name plant metagenome. RNAcentral's name for it is "partial contains 5.8S ribosomal RNA, internal transcribed spacer 2, and large subunit ribosomal RNA". The stretch from base 1 to 105 matches the Rfam family "5.8S ribosomal RNA", at positions 50 to 154 of the family's 154-position model. The record is from RNAcentral.
GAAAUGCGAUAAGUAGUGUGAAUUGCAGAAUUCAGUGAAUCAUCGAAUCUUUGAACGCACAUUGCGCCCCUUGGUAUUCCAUGGGGCAUGCCUGUUCGAGCGUCAUUUGUACCCUCAAGCUCUGCUUGGUGUUGGGUGUUUGUCCCCGUCUCCGCGCGUGGACUCGCCCCAAAGUGAUUGGCAGCCGGCGUACUGGUCCCGGAGCGCAGCACAUGUCGCGCAAACGAGUGCCUUGGUACGGCGGCGUCCAUAAGCCCCUCUCUCACGCUCUUGACCUCGGAUCAGGUAGGGAUACCCGCUGAACUUAAGU